GUUUUUUUAGGUUUUGAUUUU
This 21-nucleotide microRNA is filed under the name Danio rerio (zebrafish). RNAcentral describes it as "dre-miR-737-5p". Its record names the gene dre-miR-737-5p. The record is from miRBase by way of RNAcentral. RNAcentral also lists the same sequence under 2 other names. Lineage: Eukaryota; Metazoa; Chordata; Actinopteri; Cypriniformes; Danionidae.